RNAcentral lists this ribosomal RNA (529 nucleotides) under uncultured Atopobium sp. RNAcentral's name for it is "bacterial SSU rRNA". It matches the Rfam family "Bacterial small subunit ribosomal RNA", at positions 996 to 1528 of the family's 1533-position model. The record is from RNAcentral. Lineage: Bacteria; Bacillati; Actinomycetota; Coriobacteriia; Coriobacteriales; Atopobiaceae.
AGCGGCGGAAACGUCGUGGCCGAGANGAGCCUGAACAGGUGGUGCAUGGCUGUCGUCAGCUCGUGUCGUGAGAUGUUGGGUUAAGUCCCGCAACGAGCGCAACCCUCGUCGCAUGUUGCCAGCGGUUCGGCCGGGCACCCAUGCGAGACCGCCGGCGUUAAGCCGGAGGAAGGUGGGGACGACGUCAAGUCAUCAUGCCCCUUAUGUCCUGGGCUGCACACGUGCUACAAUGGUCGGCACAAUGGGCUGCCAGCCCGCGAGGGCGAGCGAAUCCCUAAAGCCGGCCCCAGUUCGGAUUGGAGGCUGCAACCCGCCUCCAUGAAGUCGGAGUUGCUAGUAAUCGCGGAUCAGCACGCCGCGGUGAAUGCGUUCCCGGGCCUUGUACACACCGCCCGUCACACCACCCGAGUCGAUUGCACCCGAAGUCGCCGGCCCAACCCGCAAGGGAGGGAGGCGCCGAAGGUGUGGUUGGUAAGGGGGGUGAAGUCGUAACAAGGUAGCCGUACGAGAACGUGCGGCUGGAUCACCU